This 253-nucleotide ribosomal RNA is filed under the name uncultured bacterium. RNAcentral describes it as "partial 16S ribosomal RNA". It matches the Rfam family "Bacterial small subunit ribosomal RNA", at positions 524 to 776 of the family's 1533-position model. The record is from RNAcentral.
UACGUAGGUGGCAAGCGUUGUCCGGAAUUAUUGGGCGUAAAGCGCGCGCAGGUGGUUUCUUAAGUCUGAUGUGAAAGCCCACGGCUCAACCGUGGAGGGUCAUUGGAAACUGGGGAACUUGAGUGCAGGAGAGAAGAGUGGAAUUCCACGUGUAGCGGUGAAAUGCGUAGAGAUGUGGAGGAACACCAGUGGCGAAGGCGACUCUUUGGUCUGUAACUGACGCUGAGGCGCGAAAGCGUGGGGAGCGAUCCGG